AGUGAACGCUGGCGGUAGGCCUAACACAUGCAAGUCGAACGGCAGCACAGUAAGAGCUUGCUCUUACGGGUGGCGAGUGGCGGACGGGUGAGGAAUACAUCGGAAUCUACUUUUUCGUGGGGGAUAACGUAGGGAAACUUACGCUAAUACCGCAUACGACCUACGGGUGAAAGCAGGGGAUCUUCGGACCUUGCGCGAUUGAAUGAGCCGAUGUCGGAUUAGCUAGUUGGCGGGGUAAAGGCCCACCAAGGCGACGAUCCGUAGCUGGUCUGAGAGGAUGAUCAGCCACACUGGAACUGAGACACGGUCCAGACUCCUACGGGUGGCAGCAGUGGGGAAUAUUGGACAAUGGGCGCAAGCCUGAUCCAGCCAUACCGCGUGGGUGAAGAAGGCCUUCGGGUUGUAAAGCCCUUUUGUUGGGAAAGAAAAGCAGCAGGUUAAUACCCCGCUGUUCUGACGGUACCCAAAGAAUAAGCACCGGCUAACUUCGU
Molecule: ribosomal RNA, 491 nt
Filed under: uncultured bacterium
Lineage: Bacteria
Description: partial 16S ribosomal RNA
Rfam family: Bacterial small subunit ribosomal RNA
Source: RNAcentral